GUGCUUACUUCUGUAGCAUAUAUACCAUAAAAUUGGACAAAGACAUUAGCACGACUCCCGCACAAGGAUGACACCCAAAUUUAUUACAUGUUCCCUAUUUUU
Molecule: small nuclear RNA, 102 nt
Organism: Vulpes vulpes (red fox)
Lineage: Eukaryota; Metazoa; Chordata; Mammalia; Carnivora; Canidae
Source: Ensembl